CACCACAGCUAGAAAGAGCGUCUUGGAAUUAGUAAUAUUACAAAGUUUGGUUGCGAAAUGUUGUAAAAUACGGAAAAUAUAGCCCUUCAAAAUUGGCAAACUUGUAUACUUUUGUAUUACGUGCGUGAAUUGGUAACUAAAUUGGUUACAAAAUUUCGGCGCGUAAUAGAAAUGUAUACAAAUUUGCCAAGUUCGCAGGGCUAUAUUUUCCGUAUUUUACAACAUUUCGCAACCAAACAUUGCAGUUUUUCUAAUUUUGAUAACUUCUUUCAGAAAAUAUCCUUUGUUAUUCCCAGAUUAAAAUUUUUUCUUAAGCGCAAGUC
Non-coding RNA from Paramuricea clavata, 323 nucleotides. The record is from the annotation of a GenBank genome assembly. Lineage: Eukaryota; Metazoa; Cnidaria; Anthozoa; Malacalcyonacea; Plexauridae.